RNAcentral lists this ribosomal RNA (253 nucleotides) under uncultured bacterium. Its description in RNAcentral is "partial 16S ribosomal RNA". It matches the Rfam family "Bacterial small subunit ribosomal RNA", at positions 524 to 776 of the family's 1533-position model. The record is from RNAcentral.
UACGAAGGGGGCUAGCGUUGUUCGGAAUUACUGGGCGUAAAGCGCACGUAGGCGGACUUUUAAGUCAGGUGUGAAAUCCCAAGGCUCAACCUUGGAGCUGCAUUUGAAACUGGAAGUCUUGAGACCAGGAGAGGUUAGCGGAAUACCGAGUGUAGAGGUGAAAUUCGUAGAUAUUCGGUGGAACACCAGUGGCGAAGGCGGCUAACUGGACUGGUACUGACGCUGAGGUGCGAAAGUGUGGGGAGCAAACAGG